GCCAGGCGUGGUGGCUCACGCCUGUAAUCCCAGCACUUUGGGAGGCCGAGGUGGGAGGAUCACCUGAGGUCAGGAGUUCGAGACCAGCCUGGCCAACAUGGUGAAACCCCGUCUCCA
RNAcentral lists this non-coding RNA (117 nucleotides) under Nomascus leucogenys (northern white-cheeked gibbon). Lineage: Eukaryota; Metazoa; Chordata; Mammalia; Primates; Hylobatidae. The record is from Rfam by way of RNAcentral.